Molecule: unclassified non-coding RNA, 364 nt
Filed under: Zea mays
Lineage: Eukaryota; Viridiplantae; Streptophyta; Magnoliopsida; Poales; Poaceae
Description: misc RNA Zm00001eb123320
Source: RNAcentral
CGCCGUUAAAACACGCAGCUCUCGAUCAAUCCAAUCCAAUCCAAGCAACAGCGGCAACACGCAUGCAUGCAUGCAUGCAUGCAGUGAGGCUAAAGGGUACCACUACACCUUCUGUGCAGCGGCGGGCCCAGCACCGUGCCCGUGGCCGCCGCCGGCGCCGACGGACGCCAGCGCGCUCUUCACCGUCAUGGCGACGCGGCAGCCCCUGAACGCCCGGAAGCUCUCGUGGCGGACGACGCUGAAGCACAUCGGCGCCGCCGCCUGCUCCUCCUCCUCCUCGCCGCCGUCCUCGUCCGCGGCCGAGAACGCGAACACCCGGCUCCGCAUGGUCAUCGACGAGCACGCGGCGGGCGACCGCGCGCUG